Molecule: non-coding RNA, 211 nt
Organism: Paramuricea clavata
Lineage: Eukaryota; Metazoa; Cnidaria; Anthozoa; Malacalcyonacea; Plexauridae
Source: the annotation of a GenBank genome assembly
UUUUAAUCAUUUCUAAAUUUCGGAUAGCAACCAGAAACGAAGUUUUGGACCCCUAUUGAUCGCUUACUCUCAAGAUAAUAAAUUAGCGUGACCCUCUCUUGACGUAACAUACAUAUCCUCAAUAAUCCAAGAUGGCGAACAGCUCACUUUUUUCAGUCGAAAUAUUUUGAAAACUAAGCAAGAUAUAAACAAUGUGUAAUAUAGUGUAAUA